UACGUAGGUGACAAGCGUUAUCCGGAAUUACUGGGCGUAAAGCGCACGCAGGCGGCCGAGUAAGUCUGACGUGAAAUCUCCCGGCUUAACCGGGAGCGGUCGUUGGAAACUACUUGGCUUGAGGCGAUGAGAGGGGUGUGGAAUUCCCGGUAUAGUGGUGGAAUGCGUAGAUAUCGGGAGGAACAUCAGUGGCGAAAGCGGCACCCUGGCAUUAGCCUGACGCUCAGGUGCGAAAGCGUGGGGAGCGAACGGG
Molecule: ribosomal RNA, 253 nt
Filed under: uncultured bacterium
Lineage: Bacteria
Description: partial 16S ribosomal RNA
Rfam family: Bacterial small subunit ribosomal RNA
Source: RNAcentral